UAAUUACUCUGUGUAUUUAAUCCUCUGUUUCCCUUGUCUCUUGUCAGAUCACUGUAUGUCUGCCCUCCUGCGUGUUCCUCAUGUGUCUGUCCUCCAGUGAUUCCUGUUCAGAGACUGCCAAGUGGAAGGACAGCAGCUGCAGGGGGAUGACACUGAGGAUGCCCUGCAGACAGUCCACAAUGUGCGGCAGCUCGAUGGUCUGGUAGGCGUUCUUAGUAAUAUCAAGAUCAUCCUCGCAACAGAGGAUGAUUGGCCGACCCUGGUGAGGGAGAAACAAGAGGAGGAACAAGAGGAGGAACAUUAGCUGGACCUACCGAUCUUGCAGUGAUUUGCUGCAAAGCAUUCUGGCAUUUUGUGUAGCAGGCAUCUUUCAUGAUGACCAUGAUUACUGGCAUGUCUUUGUCAACAAGUGCCAGGGGACCCAUGUUUCAGCUCCCCAGCCAAGAUGCCUUCAGAGUGCAUCUCCAUCUUUAGCGUCUGGAUCGCCCUCACUGGAUCCUCACCAGCCUGUCUGUUUAACCUGUGGAUGGACAGUUUCCCGCUAGUCACCACGGCAACGUCAUCAUCCUCCAUGUAGAGCACCUUUUUGGUGUGUUCAAUGAUGGCACUGUGGGAAGAGAAAAGAUAUGCUACAUGCGUGAACACGUUUUCUUGUAACCUUUUUUUUUUUUAUGGAUGAGGUUUUCCAGAGAAAAAGUGAUGUCAAUAAAAGAACACAAAGGGAUGAAGGAUUUUUUUACAAAACACACAGACGUUUGGUAUCUCACCUGGCGUCAGAGGCAAAGUAAUACUCCACAGGGCUGCCAUCUCCCACAGAGUUGAUGGAGUUGGAGCAGUCAGAGCGAUUAUGGGUG
Molecule: long non-coding RNA, 854 nt
Organism: Notolabrus celidotus (New Zealand spotty)
Lineage: Eukaryota; Metazoa; Chordata; Actinopteri; Labriformes; Labridae
Exons: 4
Source: RefSeq, a predicted model, not a curated record